GACAGAGGGUGCGAACGUUGUUCGGAAUUACUGGGCGUAAAGCGCGUGUAGGCGGCAGCGUAAGUCGGGCGUGAAAUCCCACGGCUCAACCGUGGAAGUGCACUCGAAACUGCGCAGCUAGAGUCCUGGAGAGGAAGGUGGAAUGCUUGGUGUAGAGGUGAAAUUCGUAGAUAUCAAGCGGAACACCGGUGGCGAAGGCGGCCUUCUGGACAGUGACUGACGCUGAGACGCGAAAGCGUGGGUAGCAAACAGG
RNAcentral lists this ribosomal RNA (253 nucleotides) under uncultured bacterium. RNAcentral's name for it is "partial 16S ribosomal RNA". It matches the Rfam family "Bacterial small subunit ribosomal RNA", at positions 524 to 776 of the family's 1533-position model. The record is from RNAcentral.